UACAGAGGGUGCAAGCGUUGUUCGGAAUUCUUGGGCGUAAAGGGCGCGUAGGCGGUGCCACAAGUCACCUGUGAAAUCUCCGGGCUUAACUCGGAGCCUGCAGGCGAAACUGUGGUGCUGGAGUGUGGGAGAGGUGCGUGGAAUUCCCGGUGUAGCGGUGAAAUGCGUAGAUAUCUGAAGGAACAUCAGUGGCGAAAGCGACUUCCUGGACCAAUACUGACGCUCAUGUGCGAAAGCGUGGGGAGCAAACAGG
This 253-nucleotide ribosomal RNA is filed under the name uncultured bacterium. Its description in RNAcentral is "partial 16S ribosomal RNA". It matches the Rfam family "Bacterial small subunit ribosomal RNA", at positions 524 to 776 of the family's 1533-position model. The record is from RNAcentral.